GGCAGAGCAUACGUAGAUCAGGAGGGCAAAGAAACACAGAUGUGGGGAAGGAGAGAAAUGAGGGCAGUGGUUCGGAGUGUGACUGAAGUAGAAAUCUGGCUUUACCAUGACUCUCCUUCAUCCUUUUCAGACUUCCAUGGAAAGAAUUUUGCUGUCUCUAUUUAGAAGCUUCAACAGUGAGGGAAAACAAACAAAUGUUGUGGACCCUGAAAAGAGUUCAGUGGAGGGCCACUAAGAUGAUCAAAGGACUGGAGCACCCCUACCAUGAGAAGAGCUGUGAGAGCUGGGACUGCUCAGCCUGGAGAAGAGGAGACUCAGGGGGGAUCUUUUCAAUGUGUCUAAAUACCUGAAAGGAGGGUGCAGGGAGGACAGAGCCAGGCUGUGUGCAGUGGUGCCCAGUGCCAGGACAGGAGGCCCUGGGCACAAACUGGCCCCCAGGAGGCUCCCCCUGAGCACCAGGAGCCCUUCUGUGCUGUGUGGGUGACGGAGCCCUGGCACAGGCUGCCCAGAGGCUGUGGGGUCUCCUCCUUGGAGCCCUUCAGAAGCCGCCUGGACGUGGUGCUGGGCACCCUGCUCUGGGUGUCCCUGCUUGAGCAGGGUGGCACCGGGUGGCACCGGGUGGCCUCCAGAGGUCCCCGCCAGCCUCAGCCAUCCUGGGAUAUUGU
Molecule: long non-coding RNA, 665 nt
Organism: Cygnus atratus (black swan)
Lineage: Eukaryota; Metazoa; Chordata; Aves; Anseriformes; Anatidae
Exons: 3
Source: RefSeq, a predicted model, not a curated record